ACUGGCGGCCACAGCGAGAGGGUUACACCCGUACCCAUUCCGAACACGGAAGUAAAGUCUCUCUGCGAUCCGAGCAGUACUGCCUUUUCGGCGGAAGCCUCGGGACGCUGCCAGAC
Molecule: ribosomal RNA, 116 nt
Filed under: Candidatus Nanohaloarchaea archaeon
Lineage: Archaea; Methanobacteriati; Methanobacteriota; Candidatus Nanohaloarchaea
Source: RNAcentral